UUGACCUCGGAUCAGGUAGGGAUACCCGCUGAACUUAAGCAUAUCAAUAAGCGGAGGAAAAGAAACCAACAGGGAUUGCCCUAGUAACGGCGAGUGAAGCGGCAACAGCUCAAAUUUGAAAGCUAGCCUUCGGGUUCGCAUUGUAAUUUGUAGAGGAUGCUUUGGGUAAAACGCCAGUCUAAGUUCCUUGGAACAGGACGUCAUAGAGGGUGAGAAUCCCGUAUGUGACUGGAAACGUUGACCUAUGUAAAGCUCCUUCGACGAGUCGAGUUGUUUGGGAAUGCAGCUCUAAAUGGGAGGUAAAUUUCUUCUAAAGCUAAAUAUUGGCGAGAGACCGAUAGCGCACAAGUAGAGUGAUCGAAAGAUGAAAAGCACUUUGGAAAGAGAGUUAAAAAGCACGUGAAAUUGUUGAAAGGGAAGCGCUUGCAAUCAGACUUGUUUAAACUGUUCGGCCGGUCUUCUGACCGGUUUACUCAGUUUGGACAGGCCAGCAUCAGUUUCGGCGGCCGGAUAAAGGCUCUGGGAAUGUGGCCUCCACUUCGGUGGAGGUGUUAUAGCCCAGUGUGUAAUACGGCCAGCCGGGACUGAGGUCCGCGCUUCGGCUAGGAUGCUGGCGUAAUGGUUGUAAGCGACCCGUCUUGAAACACGGACCAAGGAGUCUAACAUCUAUGCGAGUGUUCGGGUGUCAAACCCCUGCGCGUAAUGAAAGUGAACGGAGGUGAGAACCGCAAGGUGCAUCAUCGACCGAUCCUGAUGUCUUCGGAUGGAUUUGAGUAAGAGCAUAGCUGUUGGGACCCGAAAGAUGGUGAACUAUGCCUGAAUAGGGUGAAGCCAGAGGAAACUCUGGUGGAGGCUCGCAGCGGUUCUGACGUGCAAAUCGAUCGUCAAAUUUGGGUAUAGGGGCGAAAGACUAAUCGAACCAUC
Molecule: ribosomal RNA, 924 nt
Filed under: Aureobasidium pullulans
Lineage: Eukaryota; Fungi; Ascomycota; Dothideomycetes; Dothideales; Saccotheciaceae
Description: LSU rRNA
Rfam family: Eukaryotic large subunit ribosomal RNA
Source: RNAcentral